UUUUUUAAGAGUUUGAUCCUGGCUCAGGAUGAACGUUGGUGGCGUGCCUGAGAUAUGCAAGUCGAGCGCACAUAGUGCGCAACAUUCAACCUCCAACAUCAAUUUGUUGAAUUAUGGUAGUUGGAAAUUGGAUGUUGUGCAUUGUGUCAGCGGCGGACGGCUGAGUAACACGUAGGAACUUACCCCAAAAUAAGGAAUAGCCCCGCGAAAGCGGGGAUAAUACCUUAUAGUGAGAGGUACCAUACGGUACCUCCCUAAAGGCCUUAACUGGUCGUUUUGGGACAGUCCUGCGGCCUAUCAGGUAGUUGGUAGGGUAAUGGCCUACCAAGCCUAUGACAGGUAGCUGGCCCGAGAGGGUGUUCAGCCAGAGGGGUACUGAGAUACGGACCCCAUUUCUACGGAAAGCAGCAAUCAGGAAUAGUCGGCAAUGGGCGAAAGCCUGACCGCGCAACGCCGCGUGCGGGAAGAAGCUCUUAGGAGUGUAAACCGCUGUCGUAGGGGAAGAAGACUUCCGAUUCGGAGGUUUGACUGUACCCUACAAGAAAGGGGCCGCUAACUGCGUGCCAGAAGCGUCGGUAAUACGUGGGCCCCGAACGUUAUCCGGUUUUAUUGGGCGUAAAGGGUCGUGUAGGCUUCCCGAAAAGUUUUCGUUUAAAUACUAAGGCUUAACCUUAGGAAAGGCGAGAAAACUAUCGGGAUUGAGUUUUCUUUAGGGAGACUGGAACUUAGGGAGGAGUAGUGAAAUGCGUUGAUACCCUAGGGAACACCGGUGGCGAAGGCGAGUCUCUAAAAGAUAACUAACGCUGAGACACGAAAGCUAGGGUAGCGAAGCAGAUUAGAGACCUGCGUAGUCCUAGCCCUAAACGAAUGCCUGCUAGCUGCAUCCCCCGCCUUUGGCGGGGAGUGUGGCGAAGGUAACCCGUUAAGCAGGCCGCCUGGGGAGUACGGCCGCAAGGUUGAAACUCAAAGGAAUUGGCGGGGAGGCACACAACCAGUGGAACA
Candidatus Roizmanbacteria bacterium is the source of this 1002-nucleotide non-coding RNA. Lineage: Bacteria; Candidatus Roizmaniibacteriota. The record is from Rfam.